AUGCUUUUUUUUUUUUUUUUUCUUUCCCCAGUGAACUCAUCCCUUCCCCAAAUCGUGCUGAUGACCUCAUCAUCUGCAGCUGUGUGCUCUGAGCUCACCCACCCUUCAACUCCCAGGGGAUCACAUCUGGCGGGGGAGCCCUGGUACCUGGGGCGGGCACAUCUGGAGAUUCAUCCGAGGGAGAGAAAAAGAGAGAGAGAUGGUGUGGAGAGGAGAGGGAGAAGGAGAGAAAAAUCCAAGUAGACUCCUUGCUGAGCACUGAGCCCCACAAAGAGCUGGACCCCAAAACCUUGAGAUCAUGACUGACCUGAAAUCAAGAGUCAAAUGCUCAACUGACUGUACCACCCAGGCACCUUGAAAUUGACUGAUUUUUAAAUGAAGGCAACAAACUCACAUUAAACAAAAAUCAGCUACAUGUGUUGGGCAAACAAAAUAUCUAGCCUAAAAAAAAAAAAAAAAUCUAGCCUGCUGGGCAUCUUUCUGAAACCUACUCAUUAGACAAUGAAAGCAUACUCAUGGGGAGCCAUCCACCAGCCUGGGACACAUAUUGUCAAAUAGUUUUUCCAUAAGUAAACAAAUCUACAUUUCCAUUAACUAUUCAUUAACUGUUCUCCACUUCCCAUACUCUCACCAGGACAGUUUGCUCAAGUUUUUACGUAUCACUGAUCUUAAAGAUGAAUGUUCAUACCAAAUUGUAUCAACUUGCAUUUGUUUAAUUAAUGUUAUCAAACAGAUCUCAUAUGUUUAUUGACCUUUGGUAUUUUUUACUUUUAUGAAUUGCCUGUUCCUAUUUUUUGCCCAUUUAAGAAUUGUGUCUUGGACUUUUUCUUAUGGUUUUAUAUAAACUUUUUAUUUUUGUGUACUAUGGAUAUUAACUGUUUCUCUCAUAUGAAUUACACUGUAAAAAUUUGUCAUUUGUCUUUUAACCUUAUAUAAUAGGGUAACAUUUUUAUUAUUUUAACAAUUGUCAUCAGAGUAUUUUGAGUGGGAAAUUAAUUUUGCUUAGAAUAGCUUAAGGAAUCACUUAGAUUAUGGACAGUGAGUGUAGUUGGUACAAAAACAGUGAAACAAAGGGACAGCCAAACUCAGUGGAGAGCUGGCAAAUGUUUAACAAAAGACAGAAUAAAAAGAGAGAAAAGUGGGAAAAGACUUUUGCA
RNAcentral lists this long non-coding RNA (1157 nucleotides) under Canis lupus dingo (dingo). RNAcentral's name for it is "lncRNA (ENSCAFG00020013059.1)". Lineage: Eukaryota; Metazoa; Chordata; Mammalia; Carnivora; Canidae. The record is from RNAcentral.